RNAcentral lists this long non-coding RNA (335 nucleotides) under Bos taurus (domestic cattle). Its description in RNAcentral is "long non-coding RNA NONBTAT027031". The record is from RNAcentral. Lineage: Eukaryota; Metazoa; Chordata; Mammalia; Artiodactyla; Bovidae.
ACAAAUACCUAUGUUCAUAUUUGUUAAAGCAAAUAUGUACAAGUAAUAGAUACUUUUGUUCAUAUUUGUUAAAACAACAGGUACAGUAAUUUUUGGUAGAAAAAAAGGUAUAGUCCCUAUUUCUCUCUAUGGCCACCACAUUUACUCAUCCUGUUUUUAAAGGAUGAAUGGGUCUUUUACAAAUUACUCUGUCCUGGCUCUAGGAUGUAGGUGUAGUAACAUUUGUCUGCCUUUGUAGUAGACAAAUACUUCUCUGAAUGUCAGAAAUCAACCCUCAUAGUUUUUUUUUUUUUUUUCUGCUAGCUUCCUCUCUGUCUCUCAAAGCAAGUGAAAUG